ACGGUAACAGGAAACAGCUUGCUGUUUCGCUGACGAGUGGCGGACGGGUGAGUAAUGUCUGGGAAACUGCCUGAUGGAGGGGGAUAACUACUGGAAACGGUAGCUAAUACCGCAUAACGUCGCAAGACCAAAGAGGGGGACCUUCGGGCCUCUUGCCAUCGGAUGUGCCCAGAUGGGAUUAGCUAGUAGGUGGGGUAACGGCUCACCUAGGCGACGAUCCCUAGCUGGUCUGAGAGGAUGACCAGCCACACUGGAACUGAGACACGGUCCAGACUCCUACGGGAGGCAGCAGUGGGGAAUAUUGCACAAUGGGCGCAAGCCUGAUGCAGCCAUGCCGCGUGUAUGAAGAAGGCCUUCGGGUUGUAAAGUACUUUCAGCGGGGAGGAAGGGAGUAAAGUUAAUACCUUUGCUCAUUGACGUUACCCGCAGAAGAAGCACCGGCUAACUCCGUGCCAGCAGCCGCGGUAAUACGGAGGGUGCAAGCGUUAAUCGGAAUUACUG
This 501-nucleotide ribosomal RNA is filed under the name Streptococcus suis. RNAcentral describes it as "bacterial SSU rRNA". It matches the Rfam family "Bacterial small subunit ribosomal RNA", at positions 66 to 556 of the family's 1533-position model. The record is from RNAcentral. Lineage: Bacteria; Bacillati; Bacillota; Bacilli; Lactobacillales; Streptococcaceae.